AGCCUGAUCCAGCCAUGCCGCGUGUGUGAAGAAGGUCUUCGGAUUGUAAAGCACUUUAAGUUGGGAGGAAGGGCAGUAAGUUAAUACCUUGCUGUUUUGACGUUACCAACAGAAUAAGCACCGGCUAACUUCGUGCCAGCAGCCGCGGUAAUACGAAGGGUGCAAGCGUUAAUCGGAAUUACUGGGCGUAAAGCGCGCGUAGGUGGUUCGUUAAGUUGGAUGUGAAAGCCCCGGGCUCAACCUGGGAACUGCAUCCAAAACUGGCGAGCUAGAGUAUGGCAGAGGGUGGUGGAAUUUCCUGUGUAGCGGUGAAAUGCGUAGAUAUAGGAAGGAACACCAGUGGCGAAGGCGACCACCUGGGCUAAUACUGACACUGAGGUGCGAAAGCGUGGGGAGCAACACAGGAUUAGAUACCCUGGUAGUCCACGCCGUAA
Molecule: ribosomal RNA, 434 nt
Filed under: Pseudomonas sp. EBKC114
Lineage: Bacteria; Pseudomonadati; Pseudomonadota; Gammaproteobacteria; Pseudomonadales; Pseudomonadaceae
Description: bacterial SSU rRNA
Rfam family: Bacterial small subunit ribosomal RNA
Source: RNAcentral